RNAcentral lists this ribosomal RNA (1462 nucleotides) under uncultured organism. RNAcentral describes it as "SSU rRNA". It matches the Rfam family "Bacterial small subunit ribosomal RNA". The record is from RNAcentral.
GAACGCUGGCGGCAGGCCUAACACAUGCAAGUCGAGCGGUAGCACAGAGAGCUUGCUCUCGGGUGACGAGCGGCGGACGGGUGAGUAAUGUCUGGGAAACUGCCUGAUGGAGGGGGAUAACUACUGGAAACGGUAGCUAAUACCGCAUAACGUCGCAAGACCAAAGUGGGGGACCUUCGGGCCUCAUGCCAUCAGAUGUGCCCAGAUGGGAUUAGCUAGUAGGUGGGGUAAUGGCUCACCUAGGCGACGAUCUCUAGCUGGUCUGAGAGGAUGACCAGCCACACUGGAACUGAGACACGGUCCAGACUCCUACGGGAGGCAGCAGUGGGGAAUAUUGCACAAUGGGCGCAAGCCUGAUGCAGCCAUGUCGCGUGUAUGAAGAAGGCCUUCGGGUUGUAAAGUACUUUCAGCGAGGAGGAAGGCAUUAAGGUUAAUAACCUUGGUGAUUGACGUUACUCGCAGAAGAAGCACCGGCUAACUCCGUGCCAGCAGCCGCGGUAAUACGGAGGGUGCAAGCGUUAAUCGGAAUUACUGGGCGUAAAGCGCACGCAGGCGGUUGAUUAAGUCAGAUGUGAAAUCCCCGAGCUUAACUUGGGAACUGCAUUUGAAACUGGUCAGCUAGAGUCUUGUAGAGGGGGGUAGAAUUCCAGGUGUAGCGGUGAAAUGCGUAGAGAUCUGGAGGAAUACCGGUGGCGAAGGCGGCCCCCUGGACAAAGACUGACGCUCAGGUGCGAAAGCGUGGGGAGCAAACAGGAUUAGAUACCCUGGUAGUCCACGCUGUAAACGAUGUCGACUUGGAGGUUGUGCCCUUGAGGCGUGGCUUCCGGAGCUAACGCGUUAAGUCGACCGCCUGGGGAGUACGGCCGCAAGGUUAAAACUCAAAUGAAUUGACGGGGGCCCGCACAAGCGGUGGAGCAUGUGGUUUAAUUCGAUGCAACGCGAAGAACCUUACCUGGUCUUGACAUCCAGAGAAUUUGCUAGAGAUAGCUUAGUGCCUUCGGGAACUCUGAGACAGGUGCUGCAUGGCUGUCGUCAGCUCGUGUUGUGAAAUGUUGGGUUAAGUCCCGCAACGAGCGCAACCCUUAUCCUUUGUUGCCAGCACGUAAUGGUGGGAACUCAAAGGAGACUGCCGGUGAUAAACCGGAGGAAGGUGGGGAUGACGUCAAGUCAUCAUGGCCCUUACGAGUAGGGCUACACACGUGCUACAAUGGCAUAUACAAAGAGAAGCGAACUCGCGAGAGCAAGCGGACCUCAUAAAGUAUGUCGUAGUCCGGACUGGAGUCUGCAACUCGACUCCAUGAAGUCGGAAUCGCUAGUAAUCGUAGAUCAGAAUGCUACGGUGAAUACGUUCCCGGGCCUUGUACACACCGCCCGUCACACCAUGGGAGUGGGUUGCAAAAGAAGUAGGUAGCUUAACCUUCGGGAGGGCGCUUACCACUUUGUGAUUCAUGACUGGGGUGAA